GGUGACAGUACUCCAGGAAUAAGCGGGGCCUAAUUCUGUGCCAGCAGGCGCGGUAAUUCAGAACCCGCAAGCGUUAUCCGGAUUUAUUGGGCGUAAAGGGUCCGUACGCGGCCAAGAAAGUCUCUGGUUAAAUACCCAGGGCUCAACCUUGGGAGUGCUAGAGAUACUACUUGGCUAGAGGGCGUUAGACGCUGAUGGAACGGUCGGUGUAGGGUGAAAUCCGUUGAUAUCGACCGGAACACCAAAAGCGAAGGCAUUCAGCUAGGGCGACCUGACGCUGAGGGACGAAAGCGUGGGUAUCAAAAAGGAUUAGAUACCAUUGUAGUCACGCUGUAAACGAUGGACACUAGCUAUUCGAAGUGUCGACCCUUUCGGGUGGCAAAGCUAACGCGUUAAGUGUCCCGCCUGGGAAGUACGGCGGCAACGCUAAAACUCAAAGGAAUAGACGGGGAUUCACACAAGCGGUGGACCAUGCGGCUCAAUUCGACAACAAGCGAGGAACCUUACCAGGGUUUGACAGGCUAGUGAAAACUAACCGAAAGGUUGGUCUACCCACAAGGACACUAGCCCAGGUGCUGCAUGGUUGUCGUCAGCAUGUAUCUUGAGACGCACGCUUAAAUGCGGUAACAUGCGCAACCCCUGCCCUGUGUUUUAUUUGUCACAGGGGACUGCCCGGGACAACCGGGAGGAAGGUGGGGAUGACGCCAAAUCAGCAUGGCCCUUUGAUACCCUGGGCUGCACACGUGGUACAAUGGGGCCGACAAUGCGUUGCUAAGGCGCAAGCCGGAGCCAAUCGCAUCAAACGGCCUCUCAGUUCGGAUUGAGGUCUGCAACUCGACCUCAUGAAGUUGGAAUCGCUAGUAAUCGCAAAUCAGCCACGUUGCGAUGAAUAUGUUUCUGAAUCUUGUACUCACCGCCCGUCACAUUAGGGGAGCCGGCAGUAGCCGAAAUUUCACAUUAGUGGACCUAAGCUAAGGUCGGUAACAAGAAUG
Molecule: ribosomal RNA, 992 nt
Filed under: uncultured bacterium
Lineage: Bacteria
Description: bacterial SSU rRNA
Rfam family: Bacterial small subunit ribosomal RNA
Source: RNAcentral